AAUCAACGCUGGCGGCGUGCCUCAGACAUGCAAGUCGAACGCGAAAGUCCCCUUCGGGGGAUGAGUAGAGUGGCGCCCGGGUGAGUAACACGUAGGUAAUCUACCUUCGGGUGGGGAAUAACACCGGGAAACCGGUGCUAAUACCGCAUAAUGCAGCGGCACCACAUGGUGACAGUUGUUAAAGCGGGGGAUUUUCGAACCUUGCGCCUGAAGAGGAGCCUGCGGCAGGUUAGCUAGUUGGUAGGGUAACGGCUUACCAAGGCGACGAUCUGUAGCCGGCCUGAGAGGGCGGUCGGCCACACUGACACUGACACACGGGUCAGACUCCUACGGGAGGCAGCAGUCGGGAAUUUUGGGCAAUGGGCGAAAGCCUGACCCAGCAACGCCGCGUGAAGGAUGAAAUCCCUCGGGAUGUAAACUUCGCAAGAAUAGGAAGAAUUAGCGAGCGCUAAUACCGCUCGUGAUGACGGUACUAUUUGUAAGCUCCGGCUAACUCCGUGCCAGCAGCCGAC
RNAcentral lists this ribosomal RNA (512 nucleotides) under uncultured bacterium. RNAcentral's name for it is "bacterial SSU rRNA". It matches the Rfam family "Bacterial small subunit ribosomal RNA", at positions 32 to 518 of the family's 1533-position model. The record is from RNAcentral.